RNAcentral lists this long non-coding RNA (586 nucleotides) under Salmo salar (Atlantic salmon). Its description in RNAcentral is "lncRNA (ENSSSAG00000107364.1)". Lineage: Eukaryota; Metazoa; Chordata; Actinopteri; Salmoniformes; Salmonidae. The record is from RNAcentral.
GUUUUUUACUAGACACCAUAGAGAUGUUCAGGACCAGUUUAUUACUAGCCAUCAUAGAGAUGUUCAGGACCAGUUUAUUACUAGCCCUCAUAGAGCUGUUCAGGACCAGUUUAUUACUAGCCACCAUAGAGAUGUUCAGGACCAGGUUAUUACUAGCCAUCAUAGAGAUGUUCAGGACCAGUUUAUUACUAGCCCCCAUAGAGAUGUUCAGGACCAGUUUAUUACUAGCCAACAUAGAGGUUCAGGACCAGUUUGUUAUUAGCCCCCAUAGAGAUGUUCAGGACCAGUUUAUUACUAGCAAACAUAGAGAUGUUCAGGACCAGUUUAUUACUAGCCAACAUAGAGAUGUUCAGGACCAGUUUAUUACUAGCCCCCAUAGAGAUGUUCAGGACCAGUUUAUUACUAGCCAACAUAGAGAUGUUCAGGACCAGUUUAUUACUAGCCAACAUAGAGAUGUUCAGGACCAGUUUAUUACUAGCCAACAUAGAGAUGUUCAGGACCAGUUUAUUACUAGCCAACAUAGAGAUGUUCAGGACCAGUUUAUUACUAGCCGCCAUGGAGAUGUUCAGGACCAGUUUAUUACUAG